UACGUAGGGUGCAAGCGUUGUCCGGAAUUAUUGGGCGUAAAGAGCUCGUAGGCGGUUUGUCGCGUCUGCUGUGAAAACUCGGGGCUUAACUCCGAGCCUGCAGUGGGUACGGGCAGACUAGAGUGCGGUAGGGGAGACUGGAAUUCCUGGUGUAGUGGUGAAAUGCGCAGAUAUCAGGAGGAACACCGGUGGCGAAGGCGGGUCUCUGGGCCGUUACUGACGCUGAGGAGCGAAAGCGUGGGGAGCGAACAGG
Molecule: ribosomal RNA, 253 nt
Filed under: uncultured bacterium
Lineage: Bacteria
Description: partial 16S ribosomal RNA
Rfam family: Bacterial small subunit ribosomal RNA
Source: RNAcentral